CCCUUAGAUGUUCUGGGCCGCACGCGCGCUACACUGAUGCAUUCAACGAGUCCAACCUUGACCGAGAGGUCCGGGUAAUCUUUGAAACUGCAUCGUGAUGGGGCUAGAUUAUUGCAAUUAUUAAUCUUCAACGAGGAAUGCCUAGUAAGCGUGAUUCAUCAAAUCGCGUUGAUUACGUCCCCGCCCUUUGUACACACCGCCCGUCGCUCCUACCGAUUGAGUGUGUUGGUGAGGAGUUUGGAUUGGCCUCGGAAGGUGGUUCGCCACCGUCCGUAGCUGAGAAGUUCUCCAAACCGCCCCACUUAGAGGAAGGAGAAGUCGUAACA
RNAcentral lists this ribosomal RNA (326 nucleotides) under uncultured eukaryote. Its description in RNAcentral is "partial 18S ribosomal RNA". It matches the Rfam family "Eukaryotic small subunit ribosomal RNA", at positions 1470 to 1796 of the family's 1831-position model. The record is from RNAcentral.